Long non-coding RNA from Loxodonta africana (African savanna elephant), 535 nucleotides. RefSeq lists it as uncharacterized. The transcript is spliced from 2 exons. The record is from RefSeq and is a predicted model, not a curated record. Lineage: Eukaryota; Metazoa; Chordata; Mammalia; Proboscidea; Elephantidae.
AUCCAUGGAAUGCUCUGGGUAUCACAAGGGAUAUCAGUAAAAACUUGCGUGCUGUCCUCAUUGAAGGUGAAUCGCAUUGUGCAGAUAUGGAAGAAAAAAUGGAUAGUGAUUCAGCUGAAUUAAUUCAAGCACGAGAAAAAAUCUUCCGGAUUCUAAAAAAAUGGCUAAAGAAAUAGAUCUCGCUGAAAGAUACAGGCAGCAUAACCCAAAAUCUGGCUCUAAUUCUAUUGCUCAAAUGUAACUUCUUCUGCAAGGGUGAAAUUAAAUCAGAUGUAAAUGUAUAAUUCCUCUAUAUAAGGAUUAAGAUUGUUUUCUUUUAACGAUAAGUCAUCUUGCUCCUCCUUUCUUGCUGAUCUUGAGAAGCAGCAGAGCAUCCCAGCGCACAAGAAAUUAAGCACCCUGGAGGACCUUGUGCAACCAGUUAGUUGGUUGCUGUGGGGACAGAAGCUAUGCAUCCCAGGUUUUCCAGAACAGUCUCUAUUUCAUGAACUCUUAUUCUCUUCAUUAAAGGCCAUUCAUAACUUGCAAAUAUAAA